AGCUUUGCACAGUGACAGUAUCAUAGCCAAUGAGGUUCAUCCGAGGCACAAUUAUUGCUAAUUGAAAACUAAAUGCAAACUAUGUUUGUAGGAAGUUAGUCACAUGCUCAUUAUUAGGUGAAGAAAUUUAGACAAUACAAGCGUAU
Molecule: small nuclear RNA, 146 nt
Organism: Fukomys damarensis (Damara mole-rat)
Lineage: Eukaryota; Metazoa; Chordata; Mammalia; Rodentia; Bathyergidae
Gene: U4
Rfam family: U4 spliceosomal RNA
About the family: U4 small nuclear RNA (U4 snRNA) is a component of the major U2-dependent spliceosome. The structure of U4 snRNA from yeast and human has been reported. U4 snRNA presents a k-turn RNA motif in the 5p-SL related to recognition of Snu13 protein.
Source: Ensembl